RNAcentral lists this ribosomal RNA (254 nucleotides) under uncultured prokaryote. RNAcentral describes it as "partial 16S ribosomal RNA". It matches the Rfam family "Bacterial small subunit ribosomal RNA", at positions 524 to 777 of the family's 1533-position model. The record is from RNAcentral.
UACGUAGGGGGCAAGCGUUGUCCGGAAUCACUGGGCGUAAAGCGCGCGCAGGCGGCUGUCUACGUCCGGGGUGAGAGCCCAGAGCUCAACUCUGGGAUUGCCUUGGAUACGGGAUGGCUUGAGGAUCGGAGAGGCAAGGGGAAUUCCACGUGUAGCGGUGAAAUGCGUAGAGAUGUGGAGGAACACCUGUGGCGAAGGCGCCUUGCUGGCCGAUUUCUGACGCUGAGGCGCGAAAGCGUGGGGAGCAAACAGGA